GUAGGUGGCAAGCGUUGUCCGGAAUUAUUGGGCGUAAAGCGCGCGCAGGCGGUUCUUUAAGUCUGAUGUGAAAGCCCACGGCUCAACCGUGGAGGGUCAUUGGAAACUGGAGAACUUGAGUACAGAAGAGGAAAGCGGAAUUCCACGUGUAGCGGUGAAAUGCGUAGAGAUGUGGAGGAACACCAGUGGCGAAGGCGGCUUUCUGGUCUGUAACUGACGCUGAGGCGCGAAAGCGUGGGGAGCAAACAGGGAUUAGAUACCCUGGUAGUCCACGCCGCAAACGAUGAGUGCUAAGUGUUAGGGGGGUUUUCCGCCCCCCUUAGUGCUGCAGCUAACGCAUUAAGCACUCCGCCUGGGAUACGGCCGCAAGGCUG
Molecule: ribosomal RNA, 374 nt
Filed under: uncultured organism
Description: partial 16S ribosomal RNA
Rfam family: Bacterial small subunit ribosomal RNA
Source: RNAcentral